This is a long non-coding RNA of Dama dama (fallow deer), 435 nucleotides long. RefSeq lists it as uncharacterized. Lineage: Eukaryota; Metazoa; Chordata; Mammalia; Artiodactyla; Cervidae. The transcript has 3 exons. The record is from RefSeq and is a predicted model, not a curated record.
UGUUUCUGAGCUAUGGCCUAUAGGUCAGCCAUCAUGGCAACCAAAGGAGAAUGUAAUUACAAAUGAGGACCUGGGAGGAAUCUCUAAGAUGGUUCCCACAAAGGGUACAGUGGAGAAAAAAAAUCUAUGCAAACGAAGAAAGGCAACACUGGAACCUCAGGAGAGCAGAGAAGAAGAAAAAGGAGGUGACAGUGGGAAUGAAGAUGAGGCGGGAGAGGAGGAGAUGGUGGAGUACUGUCUUAAUGCCUGGUGAUAAAUGAAAAUGCUGAAUUUCCACAGGGGCUUCUCCAGUAGCUCAGAUGGUAAAGUAUCUGCCGUCAGUGCAGGAGACCCGGGUUUGAUCCCUGGGUUGGGAAGAUCCCUGAAGAAAGAAAUUGCAACCCACUCCAGUAUUCUUGCCUGGAGAAUCCCAUGGACAGAGGGGCCUGGCGAGCU